ACUCCUACGGGAGGCAGCAGUGGGGAAUAUUGCACAAUGGGGGAAACCCUGAUGCAGCCAUGCCGCGUGUGUGAAGAAGGCCUUCGGGUUGUAAAGCACUUUCAGUAGGGAGGAAGGUAGUGUAGUUAACACCUGCAUUAUUUGACGUUACCUACAGAAGAAGCACCGGCUAACUCCGUGCCAGCAGCCGCGGUAAUACGGAGGGUGCGAGCGUUAAUCGGAAUUACUGGGCGUAAAGCGCAUGCAGGCGGCCUGUUAAGUCAGAUGUGAAAGCCCGGGGCUUAACCUCGGAAUUGCAUUUUGAAACUGGCGAGGCUAGAGUCUUGUUAGAGGGGGGUAGGAAUUUACUAGGUGUAGCGGUGAAAGUAGCGUAGAGAUCUGAAGGAAUACCAGUGGCGAAGGCGGCCCCCGUCGGACAAA
Molecule: ribosomal RNA, 420 nt
Filed under: uncultured bacterium
Lineage: Bacteria
Description: bacterial SSU rRNA
Rfam family: Bacterial small subunit ribosomal RNA
Source: RNAcentral